CGAAAAGCUCCGAUCACAGUCCGCGCACUUGAAUGGCUUCACUCCCGUGUGUUUGCGGUAAUGCCUCGUCAGUUCAUCCGAGCGAGCGAACUUCCAGGAAGAGUGAAAUCAAAUUUCUAUCUUCAAUCAGCAACAGACUGAUGUUUUCUUCUCCUGUGAAGAAGUAGAUUGUAGGUCACCUUGGGAGACCUUGUAUUUAAAUUUAGAAAAAUUAUGCAGCUGAAGAUGAAACAUCUGCCUGCCUCCCCUUUUUUACACAGGUUUGGGCUCAGGAAUGUUGCAGACCGCAUGAAAUCUGCAGGCCACAUGUUUGAUACCUGGCUUUGUACUCAACUGCUUAUUCAUUUGCAUCCAUGCGUUAUGUCCCUAACAGAAUAAUAUCUCCUUGAGAGCAGGGACUGUUUCUUUGCUUUGCAUUAACUGUGCCUAGAACUGUGCUUCCCAUACAGUUGUUAUUUAAUAAACAUUUAUUUAAUUCAA
Long non-coding RNA from Antechinus flavipes (yellow-footed antechinus), 480 nucleotides. RefSeq lists it as uncharacterized. The record is from RefSeq and is a predicted model, not a curated record. NCBI's taxonomy places the organism in Eukaryota, Metazoa, Chordata, Mammalia, Dasyuromorphia, Dasyuridae. The transcript has 3 exons.